CAGCUCCCUCUAAACAUAUCGAAUAGCAGAUAUAUCCUACAAAAUUUAGAUUUUCAGAUUUAUCCCUUAAAAAGUCAUAACGGUUUCAAAUAUAUUUAUGCUGUUAGUAUCUGUUAGAAAAAUAUAGUUAACUAUAGAUAAAUUCCUUAACCUUGGUUAGUGAGUGAGGUAAAUUGUCCUUUUUACUCCUUUGAUAUUAUAUUUUUUUUUCUCUUAAUCAAAACGAUCGAAACCCUAGCAAUAGAAACUCCUCUUCCUCUUUCUCUCUUUUCUUCAAGCUAGUUUUGAAUUCAUAGCUAGGGUUUCUCUAUCUCAUUCAUCCAUGCUUCGCCGCGUCGAGCGCCGGGGAAUUAGUAUUGGCUAGAUAAAGGAGAAAAGGGGUGAGAGAAAAUGUAGAGAAGAGAUUGCAAUAAUGGUGGAUUGAGUUAGUUUUUAUAGAGGAAGAAGAUAACUAUUGAAAAUUAUUUAGAAAGAUAUUUUUGUACGAUUCUAAACAAUUGGAGCUUUUGAUGGGACAUAUUUGUGAUAACAAAAUUGACAUCUCACUUAUCUUCUGUUAAAAAAUAAACAGUGAGGUGACGGUAACAAAUCAGAGGGGCAAAUAUGAACGUCACAGAACUUUUGAAGGAAUAAAUCUAAAAGCAUGAACUUUGUACGAAUAUAUUUACUAUUCGACAUGUUCACAGGAAACUAUAUGAAAUUAU
This 704-nucleotide long non-coding RNA is filed under the name Ananas comosus (pineapple). Its description in RNAcentral is "long non-coding RNA (ACOM_LNC025843)". Lineage: Eukaryota; Viridiplantae; Streptophyta; Magnoliopsida; Poales; Bromeliaceae. The record is from RNAcentral.